RNAcentral lists this ribosomal RNA (484 nucleotides) under uncultured bacterium. RNAcentral's name for it is "partial 16S ribosomal RNA". It matches the Rfam family "Bacterial small subunit ribosomal RNA", at positions 29 to 507 of the family's 1533-position model. The record is from RNAcentral.
AUUGAACGCUGGCGGCAUGCUUUACACAUGCAAGUCGAACGGCAGCGCAGGCUUCGGCCUGGCGGCGAGUGGCGAACGGGUGAGUAAUACAUCGGAACGUGCCCAGUAGUGGGGGAUAGCUCGGCGAAAGCCGGAUUAAUACCGCAUACGACCUGAGGGUGAAAGCGGGGGAUCUUCGGACCUCGCGCUAUUGGAGCGGCCGAUGGCAGAUUAGCUAGUUGGUGGGGUAAAGGCCUACCAAGGCGACGAUCUGUAGCUGGUCUGAGAGGACGACCAGCCACACUGGGACUGAGACACGGCCCAGACUCCUACGGGAGGCAGCAGUGGGAAAUUUUGGACAAUGGGCGAAAGCCUGAUCCAGCAAUGCCGCGUGUGUGAUGAAGGCCUUCGGGUUGUAAAGCACUUUUGGCGGGAACGAAAAGGACUGUGCCAAUACCACGGUUCGAUGACGGUACCCGCAGAAUAAGCACCGGCUAACUACGUG